This 55-nucleotide transfer RNA is filed under the name Stephanurus dentatus. RNAcentral's name for it is "tRNA-His". Lineage: Eukaryota; Metazoa; Nematoda; Chromadorea; Rhabditida; Stephanuridae. The record is from RNAcentral.
AGCUUUUUAGUUUAUUUAAAAUUUUUGCUUGUGGUGUAAAGGAAAAUUAAGGCUA